Molecule: ribosomal RNA, 492 nt
Filed under: uncultured bacterium
Lineage: Bacteria
Description: partial 16S ribosomal RNA
Rfam family: Bacterial small subunit ribosomal RNA
Source: RNAcentral
AGUGAACGCUGGCGGUAGGCCUAACACAUGCAAGUCGAACGGCAGCACAGUAAGAGCUUGCUCUUACGGGUGGCGAGUGGCGGACGGGUGAGGAAUACAUCGGAAUCUACUUUUUCGUGGGGGGUAACGUAGGGAAACUUACGCUAAUACCGCAUACGACCUACGGGUGAAAGCAGGGGAUCUUCGGACCUUGCGCGAUUGAAUGAGCCGAUGUCGGAUUAGGUAGUUGGCGGGGUAAAGGCCCACCAAGGCGACGAUCCGUAGCUGGUCUGAGAGGAUGAUCAGCCACACUGGAACUGAGACACGGUCCAGACUCCUACGGGAGGCAGCAGUGGGGAAUAUUGGACAAUGGGCGCAAGCCUGAUCCAGCCAUACCGCGUGGGUGAAGAAGGCCUUCGGGUUGUAAAGCCCUUUUGUUGGGAAAGAAAAGCAGCAGGUUAAUACCCCGCUGUUCUGACGGUACCCAAAGAAUAAGCACCGGCUAACUUCGUG